This 468-nucleotide ribosomal RNA is filed under the name uncultured bacterium. RNAcentral describes it as "partial 16S ribosomal RNA". It matches the Rfam family "Bacterial small subunit ribosomal RNA", at positions 28 to 507 of the family's 1533-position model. The record is from RNAcentral.
GGCGAACGCUGGCGGCGUGCUUAACACAUGCAAGUCGAACGGAAAGGCCCUGCUUUUGUGGGGUGCUCGAGUGGCGAACGGGUGAGUAACACGUGAGUAACCUGCCCUUGACUUUGGGAUAACUUCAGGAAACUGGGGCUAAUACCGGAUAGGAGCUCCUGCUGCAUGGUGGGGGUUGGAAAGUUUCGGCGGUUGGGGAUGGACUCGCGGCUUAUCAGCUUGUUGGUGGGGUAGUGGCUUACCAAGGCUUUGACGGGUAGCCGGCCUGAGAGGGUGACCGGCCACAUUGGGACUGAGAUACGGCCCAGACUCCAACGGGAGGCAGCAGUGGGGAAUAUUGCACAAUGGGCGGAAGCCUGAUGCAGCAACGCCGCGUGCGGGAUGACGUCCUUCGGGUUGUAAACCGCUUUCGCCUGUGACGAAGCGUGAGUGACGGUAAUGGGUAAAGAAGCACCGGCUAACUACGUG